Molecule: small RNA, 310 nt
Organism: Vibrio sp.
Lineage: Bacteria; Pseudomonadati; Pseudomonadota; Gammaproteobacteria; Vibrionales; Vibrionaceae
Source: Rfam
CAUUGUACGGAUACAUUAGUUACUAGGAUGGUAGCUAGCAAAGGAUCGCAAUGGACACCUCUAGGAUAGAGGAAAGGAACAACAUCAGGAUGAUGUAAAGGAUACCGCUCAAGGAUAUGAGUGAGCAGCACCAAAAAGGACAUUGGUCAGCCGGGAUAAGGCGUUGGACACCGCUAGGAAGGCGAGAAAGGAAUAAGCUUAGGAUAAGCAGGCUAUCAAGGAUUAGAUGCAAGGAGCACUUUUUAGUAGCCGGAUUGCUGCGAGUAAGACUAUAACCGUCGGGCUUUCGCCCUUCGGGGUUUUUCUUUAU